AGAUGGGGGGGGGCACAGAGAAGGUGGGGAGGGAUGGAGGAGGAAGAGGAUAGAGGAAGGAGGAUGGAGGAGGAGGAGGGAGGAGGAAGAAGAGAAGACAAAGACAGAUGGAAGAGGAUGGAGGAGGAGGAUGGAAGAGGAAAGAGGAAGAGGAUGGAGGAGGAAGGAGGAGGAGGAUGGAAGAGGAAAGAGAAGGAGGAUGGAAGAGGAAAGAGGAAGAGGAUGGAGGAGGAAGAGGAUGGAGGAGGAAAGAGAAGGAGGAUGGAGGAGGAAGAGGAUGGAGGAGGAAGAGGAUGGAGGAGGAAGGAAGAGGAAAGAGGAAGAUGGAGGAGGAACAAGAAGGAAGGUGAAGGAGGAGGAAGGAGGAGGGUGCAGGAAGAGAAGACAAAGAUGGAUGGAAGAGGAUGGAGGAGGAGGAUGGAAGAGGAAAGAAGAUGGAGGAGGAAGGAGGAGGAGGAUGGAGGAGGAAAAGGGAGGAGGAGGAUGGAGGAGGAAGGAGGAGGAGGAUGGAGGAGGAAGGAGGAAGAGGAUGGAAGAGGAAAGAGGAGGAUGGAGGAGGAAGGAGGAGGAGGAAGGAGGAGGAGGAUGGAAGAGGAAAGAGGAGGAUGGAGGAGGAACAAGAAGGAAGGUGAAGGAAGAGGAAGGAGGAGGGUGGAGGAAGAGAAGACAAAGAUGGAUGGAAGAGGAUGGAGGAGGAAGGAGAAGGAGGGAGGAGGAGGAAAAAGGAGAAGGAAGAUUGAGGAGGAGGAGGAUGGUGGAGCAGGAAGAAGAAGGAGGAUGGAGGAGCAGGAAGAGGAGGAGGAAGGAGAAAGAGGAUGGAGGAGGACGAAUGAGGAGGACGGAGGAAGAAAGAGGAAGAGGAGGAUGGAGAAGGAGGAAGGAGAAUGGGGAAGGAAGAAGAAGGAGGAGGAUGGAAGAGUAGGAGGAGGAAAGAGGAGGAGGAAGGAAAGGAAGGAGGGAAGGAAGGAAGGGGGAGGAAAGAAGGAAAGGAGGAAGAAGGAAGGAGGAAGAGGAGGAAGGAGAAGGAGGGAGGCAGGAGAGAGGGGGCUCUCAGCCAAAGAUCCCCCCAACGGAAGGGGCAGAGGGAGGGGUUUUUCCAGCUGCCCCAUGGUGCCAGAGCCACCUUUGCCCCCUCCCCAUUUCCCCUUCCUCCCCCCUCUCCAUUUUCUCUUCCUCC
Molecule: long non-coding RNA, 1177 nt
Filed under: Calidris pugnax (ruff)
Lineage: Eukaryota; Metazoa; Chordata; Aves; Charadriiformes; Scolopacidae
Description: lncRNA (ENSCPUG00000003903.1)
Source: RNAcentral